AUUGAACGCUGGCGGCAGGCUUAACACAUGCAAGUCGAGCGGGGUGAUGGUGCUUGCACUAUCACUUAGCGGCGGACGGGUGAGUAAUGCUUAGGAAUCUGCCUAUUAGUGGGGGACAACAUCUCGAAAGGGAUGCUAAUACCGCAUACGUCCUACGGGAGAAAGCAGGGGAUCACUUGUGACCUUGCGCUAAUAGAUGAGCCUAAGUCGGAUUAGCUAGUUGGUGGGGUAAAGGCCUACCAAGGCGACGAUCUGUAGCGGGUCUGAGAGGACGAUCCGCCACACUGGGACUGGGACACGGCCCAGACUCCUACGGGAGGCAGCAGUGGGGAAUAUUGGACAAUGGGGGGAACCCUGAUCCAGCCAUGCCGCGUGUGUGAAGAAGGCCUUAUGGUUGUAAAGCACUUUAAGCGAGGAGGAGGCUCUUUUGGUUAAUACCCAAGAUGAGUGGACGUUACUCGCAGAAUAAGCACCGGCUAACUCUGUGCCAGCCGCCGCGGUAA
Molecule: ribosomal RNA, 503 nt
Filed under: uncultured bacterium
Lineage: Bacteria
Description: partial 16S ribosomal RNA
Rfam family: Bacterial small subunit ribosomal RNA
Source: RNAcentral